This 386-nucleotide unclassified non-coding RNA is filed under the name uncultured fungus. RNAcentral's name for it is "sequence contains ITS1". The stretch from base 1 to 105 matches the Rfam family "5.8S ribosomal RNA", at positions 50 to 154 of the family's 154-position model. The record is from RNAcentral. Lineage: Eukaryota; Fungi.
GAAAUGCGAUACGUAGUGUGAAUUGCAGGAAUAAGUGAAUCAUCAAACCUUUGAACGCAAGUUGCGCCUCUGGGUCCUCCCAGAGGCACGCUUGUUUGAGCGUCACCCCCAAUUCUCAAAGAAAAACACCUCUACAAGGGUUUUUUUUUUGGUCUCGGACUCCACUGCAGUCACUCUGCAGCGCAGUCUCAGUUCCAUGCUGGCUUGAGCAACUUAUUCUCUUCACUGAGAACCUGAAGUUUGGUGAGUUUUUACACUCGUCCACUCUCCAGCCUCGAGAGGAGUUGGUUGCUUGUAUGCCCUGGAAGGGAAGUGAACUUUUUGGUUCACACAACCAUUUCCAAUCCAGUGACCUCAAAUCAAGCGGAGAUACCCGCUGAAUUUAA